Non-coding RNA from Cyprinodon tularosa, 613 nucleotides. The record is from the annotation of a RefSeq genome assembly. Lineage: Eukaryota; Metazoa; Chordata; Actinopteri; Cyprinodontiformes; Cyprinodontidae.
UUCAGAUGUUGUGUCUCUGUUUGCCUCCAGUGCGCUGAGAGCAGAGAAAUAAUUUCCAUAGAGAGGAGGCUUUGCAUGGUCAGCUGAUCCUCCAGGGAACUGAGAAGGUUUAUAGUCCUGAGAGUUCAACACUGCAGGACUCUGAUCUGUCAGUCAAGCAGCAGAAACAACAAGCACCAUGACUCUCAUCUCCAUCCUCAUCUGGACGCUGACCUGCUGCUGUUUUGCAGGAUGCAGCGCUCAGGUGACUGUGACUCAGCCUCCAGUGGAGACAUUUACUCCAGGAUCAAAUGUCACUAUUCGAUGUACAACAAAUCCUGCUGUUUAUCUUGAUUUUUCAAUGUCGUGGUAUCAGCAAAAACCAGGACAGCCUCCAAAGCUCCUGAUAUAUCUGAGAACUUUAACCAUCACUGGAGUUCAGGCUGAAGAUGCUGCAGUUUAUUACUGUCAGAGUUAUCAUAGAGGUCGUGUGUUCACACAGUGAUUUCUAGCUGUACAAAAACCUCCCUCAGUCAGACUGCAGACACACUGAGCUGUUAGAGCAGAAACUGACUGCAGCUGCUGAGGAGGAAGAGACCCUGAUACAGACCACUGAACACAGAGCUGACAGAAA